Non-coding RNA from Megalops atlanticus (tarpon), 78 nucleotides. The record is from the annotation of a GenBank genome assembly. Lineage: Eukaryota; Metazoa; Chordata; Actinopteri; Elopiformes; Megalopidae.
GGCAGUCUGGCAUAGUGGUAAGGAGCUGGGCUUAUAACCAAAAGGUUCCCGGUUCAAUUCCCUGCUAGGGCACUGCUG